This 63-nucleotide transfer RNA is filed under the name Uvitellina sp. SSS-2019. RNAcentral's name for it is "tRNA-Leu". The record is from RNAcentral. Lineage: Eukaryota; Metazoa; Platyhelminthes; Trematoda; Plagiorchiida; Cyclocoelidae.
UUAGGGAUGCCAGAUUUUAUGGGUGUGAUUUAGGAUUAUAUUAUGGUGGGUUGCCUCCCUGGU